AAUUAUCAGAUUGAAGAUACUUUCUUGUCAUCGAGAAAGUCAUCUCAGUUUGGUGUUGGGCUCUGCCGUGUUCUUUAUUUGGAACGGCUGGCCUUAAAAGCAUUAGCUGGCCCUCCUGAGCGUUGGUUCUACUCAGCGUGAUAAUAAUCUGACCGCUGAGGACAUCUUCUAUGAUGGCCAAUUCUUGUUUGGGUUGCUUCGAAUUUUGGGUUAUGGACUUUUGCCAGUCUGUUCCAUUUCUAA
Molecule: unclassified non-coding RNA, 243 nt
Filed under: uncultured Clavulinaceae
Lineage: Eukaryota; Fungi; Basidiomycota; Agaricomycetes; Cantharellales; Hydnaceae
Description: sequence contains ITS2
Source: RNAcentral